RNAcentral lists this ribosomal RNA (498 nucleotides) under uncultured bacterium. Its description in RNAcentral is "partial 16S ribosomal RNA". It matches the Rfam family "Bacterial small subunit ribosomal RNA", at positions 28 to 507 of the family's 1533-position model. The record is from RNAcentral.
GACGAACGCUGGCGGCGUGCCUAAUACAUGCAAGUCGAACGAGAGCGACCGGUGCUUGCACUGGUCAAUCUAGUGGCGAACGGGUGAGUAACACGUGGGUAACCUGCCCAUCAGAGGGGGAUAACAUCCGGAAACGGAUGCUAAAACCGCAUAGGUCUUCGAACCGCAUGGUUUGAAGAGGAAAAGAGGCGCAAGCUUCUGCUGAUGGAUGGACCCGCGGUGCAUUAGCUAGUUGGUGAGGUAACGGCUCACCAAGGCCGUGAUGCAUAGCCGACCUGAGAGGGUGAUCGGCCACAUUGGGACUGAGACACGGCCCAAACUCCUACGGGAGGCAGCAGUAGGGAAUCUUCCGCAAUGGACGCAAGUCUGACGGAGCAACGCCGCGUGAGUGAGGAAGGUUUUCGGAUCGUAAAACUCUGUUGUUAGAGAAGAACAAGUGCUAGAGUAACUGUUAGCGCCUUGACGGUAUCUAACCAGAAAGCCACGGCUAACUACGUG